Molecule: long non-coding RNA, 273 nt
Organism: Empidonax traillii (willow flycatcher)
Lineage: Eukaryota; Metazoa; Chordata; Aves; Passeriformes; Tyrannidae
Exons: 2
Source: RefSeq, a predicted model, not a curated record
CAGGUCUAAGGGAAAGGAGACUCACUGCCUGCAAUUCAGUGACAGCUACAAAUACACCCCCAGACCCAGGACGUGGCCCUUCCCCAAAACACAAUCAAAUCAGUUUUCUUCUCCCAAAUGACAAAUGGAAAACUGAAAAAGAAGAAGAAAGCUGUUGCCAUUCACUAGCUCCUGGAGUGUAUUAAAGAUGACAUGGGCACAGCAUCUUUUUUUUCUGGGAAUACAAGAUACAGCCUUUUGCAUUUCUGCACAAAAAUGUGUUUUGUCCCUAAA